RNAcentral lists this long non-coding RNA (1322 nucleotides) under Apteryx owenii (little spotted kiwi). RNAcentral's name for it is "lncRNA (ENSAOWG00000002089.1)". The record is from RNAcentral. Lineage: Eukaryota; Metazoa; Chordata; Aves; Apterygiformes; Apterygidae.
AAAAAGUAGUUCUUUUAAUUAAAAAAAAACAAAACAAAACCUUUCCGUAUGUCCUCAAUAUUUUGAAAUACAUAAAAAUAGAAAGCAUUUCCACAGGGUAAAUUAUGAUUGCUAAAAGCUCCUCCCUGCACCCCCAAAGCCCCCAGCCCCAUGUCCUCAGCCAGCCGCGUACCGCGGUCCUCGUGCUCGUGGUUAGCGCUGCCGAGCGCUGGAGAAACUGUAAUUGCUCAUAAGCGAAGUAGCACUUCCCAAAGUACAGUAUUUGUUUAACAGAUCGUUAAACCAAUAUAAAUAGCGCUGAAGCACGCAUGGAAGCAACAAGGAUUUAAGCGUAAUUACAGUGGGAAACGCGGAGCGUGGUCGUCCUCUUUCAGAGGCUGCGGGGCAGCGUGAGUAACGCCACCAAAGCAAUGGGGUAGAACCAGGCCCAGGAGAGCCUGGACCCUCUGCGGCACUGCUUUAGCUUUCUGUUUCCUUCCUAUUUUAAGGGAAAAUUCUGGGACAGCCUGUAACCUUUUUACUUUAUUCCAGGAAUAAUUUCCUUUGUAACAAUUCCAUCAAGAUCACUGAAAUUAAAUCAAAAAAGACCGUCUCCGUUACUGUCGUGGGAGCUGCUAUAAGUAAAGCAAAUUAAGAUAUCACGUUGUCAGGGGCCAGUCUAACAAAACAUUUUGAGCUUGUCCACAUGAGUCUGGCAUCUGUAGACCGAAGCUCCCGACGACCAUCCAAACCAGCCUGCCCAGGGCUUGGUGGAGCAACCAGCCUUGAGUAACUGUUCAGGAGCAUUUUCUCAGAUGCCGGUCAGCACGGAGCCGGGGAGCAAGAACAACGCGUUGGGUUGCUCUUGGCCAGCUGUACCCAAGACCUGUGCCACCGUGGCCUGGGCACUGCACUUCCCGUGUUUUUGCAGCCCCCAGCUCAGCGAAAGGCAAAAGGUCCCAGCCGGAGGUCACAGACUGCUCGGAGAGGGGGAGGCAAUUUCCUCUUCUGAAAACACCGGUUACCUGCUGCCAUGCAAGCCGCAUCGGCUGUUACGGACGCACAAUCAAUGAAAGUUUGUUGUUCUGUUAAUUAUUACUCAAGUUAGUGCAAACAAAGGCGCCAACAAACGAAAACACUGUGCGAGGGAGAAUUGUCAGACUAAUCGUUUGAACGUGAUGCGCACAUUGGGGGGCAGCACCCAGGAGGUCCCUACGUCCAAAAUGUAAUCUGAAUUGUGAAGAACGUAGUGGCUAAAGCAUCUUUGAGUCCUUUCCUUAGUUUGGUACCUUCUGUCAAGACGGACGUUUCAUUUUCCGGUGCUGCUUAGCCUCGUACACGCG